UAAGGAAUAUUGGUCAAUGGACGAAAGUCUGAACCAGCCAUGCCGCGUGAAGGAUUAAGGCCCUCUGGGUUGUAAACUUCUUUUAUCUGGGACGAAAAAAGGGUAUUCUUACUCACUUGACGGUACCAGAGGAAUAAGCACCGGCUAACUCCGUGCCAGCAGCCGCGGUAAUACGGAGGGUGCAAGCGUUAUCCGGAUUUACUGGGUUUAAAGGGUGCGUAGGUGGGUUUGUAAGUCAGUGGUGAAAUCU
Molecule: ribosomal RNA, 250 nt
Filed under: uncultured bacterium
Lineage: Bacteria
Description: partial 16S ribosomal RNA
Rfam family: Bacterial small subunit ribosomal RNA
Source: RNAcentral